AAAAGACCCUAAGAUUGUCACUGAUUAUCAGAAUGUAGCUAUUAAAAGAAAAUUUGAUGAAGUAAAAACGUGUUUCAUUUUAAUUACUUCUGUUUUCCUUUUUGUUUCCUUUACCAGUUUAUAUGAAGAACAGGUUAGGAAGUGGCAUAGCUAAGGCAGUGCUAAUAAAAUGGUGGGACAUCCUUGCAUCGGAGGGGUGGAAUGUCAGGAGGGAAUUGGAUGCGAGGUACUCUCCUUCAGGAGGCCAGACCAGAGAGUGGCAGUGUGAUGUUCCGUAUUACUGCCGUCUACCUCAACGAUGGACCCGAUGCUGAGAUCGUGCGUGGCUGGUAUCCUGGGACGUUCAUGAUGUGGUGGCCCAGUUCUCGAUAACCACAUCAGGAUAUAUGACCUGGUACAUGGUCAGUCCUGGUUUUAACACCUUCCAUCUUGACAGCAGAUGUUACUGGAAUGGGGACACGACUGCUACCAUGGCAAACCUGAUAAUCCUAUACAAGAGGCUGAAUGGGCAGAGGCCAGAAAACAUGCAUGUCAUUCAUACUGAGCCAGAAAGCUGUUGAUGUUGACUUCCAAGGACGCUGGCGGUGAGAGAGGAUCUGUGAUGAGUGAACACACUAGGUGAUGAGCAGGCUGAUGCAAUGUUACCACUUUUACAGCCUCAAAACAGUAUCCCAGCCACUAUUGGGCUAGAACUUUGCAGUUUGGCAUGUCGAUGUAUAUUGUCAGUGUAAAGUUUAACAAGAAGUUGUUUGAAAGUGUUCUGGAGUGACUGUCCUGUCCAUGCAGGAAACGUGGGCAACUGUGCUACAGUUUACUUUGUUCUAUUUGAUUUAUGAAAUAACAUUUUAAUUUUGUGUGGUCACUGAUAUUUUUUUUUGCACUCUUUAAAACAUUAAAAGCGAAUGAACUGUUUGUGUUAUUUUACUGGUCUUUCUGUAGAUGAAAUGUUCUUGUUAUUCUGUAUUUCUCUGAAUCCAUGAGGAGGCUGAGUGUUCUUUGGCUCAAAUUCCAAACUGUUGUACAACAUGGAUGUUAGAAGAAAGUGAAUUUUGCAAAAGAUGAAUAGCUAUUCUUCACGUGCCAGUGCUUAAUUUUGGUUAAAAUAAAUGAUUUAUUAGGAAAAAAUUGCAUUUACAGGAACCAAAUUAUAUCGACUGUAUUUGAUGGAAACAAUUUUAGACAAAUAUUGACUGUUUCACAUGGAGUUGAAGAGACGUAUAUCAGUAUUCUGAAUUGCUGUGUUUUGCACUCACAGGAUUCAACUCGAAAUAAAUAUAUUCGAAAUGACCAGAGAAUUUACGUUGUUCUUAAAGUGGAAAUAAAAAACCACACAAAUUCAAGAAAAUGAGAUUCUUCAAACUCUGCUCAUAAAAGAUUUUUUGUAACAGUGUUCAGAGUCAACUGUAAUUUGGAAUUCAGUGUCAAUUGAAAAUAAACCAUUAGAAACUAAA
This is a long non-coding RNA of Acanthaster planci (crown-of-thorns starfish), 1451 nucleotides long. The record is from RefSeq and is a predicted model, not a curated record. Lineage: Eukaryota; Metazoa; Echinodermata; Asteroidea; Valvatida; Acanthasteridae.